RNAcentral lists this long non-coding RNA (515 nucleotides) under Junco hyemalis (dark-eyed junco). RNAcentral describes it as "lncRNA (ENSJHYG00000005897.1)". The record is from RNAcentral. Lineage: Eukaryota; Metazoa; Chordata; Aves; Passeriformes; Passerellidae.
AUUGACCUCAUCGCAGUCUGGGUAUAAACGGGGCUGGCAAGGGGCGAGGCUGCCUCAGUGCCAGGGCAGGUGGGUGAGCAGGGGGCACCAGAGGGGUCAUGGCAGCUUUCCUGCUCCUGGCACCCCUGCUGCUGCUGGGGACGGCGUCUGGCCAGGCAGACACAGGCACAGGCACAGACACAGAUGGAUGCCUGUGGCUCAGGAACACCACCGAAGGGAAUUUCUCUGUGGAAACAACACCUGAGACUUACCAGCCCAACACAACCUACCUGGUGACCAUCAAGGACGACAGGGACCACAGCAACAGCUCGGGGCCGUUCCUGCUGCAGGCCCUGUCCCCCCAGAACACCUCGGUGGGGCAGUGGGAGAAGUUAAACACGCAGACGUGCAGCUCUGUGCUCACAGCAACGCUGGACGUCUCUGAGAGAGCGGCCAACUGGACAUCCCACGCAGAGAACCACUCCUCAGUGCGGAUCAUGGUCUAUCUCAGGCUCCCUAAUGACAUCACUGAGGUC